AAGCAACGCGAAGAACCUUACCAGGUCUUGACAUCCCGAUGCUAUUUCUAGAGAUAGAAAGUUACUUCGGUACAUCGGUGACAGGUGGUGCAUGGUUGUCGUCAGCUCGUGUCGUGAGAUGUUGGGUUAAGUCCCGCAACGAGCGCAACCCCUAUUGUUAGUUGCCAUCAUUCAGUUGGGCACUCUAGCGAGACUGCCGGUAAUAAACCGGAGGAAGGUGGGGAUGACGUCAAAUCAUCAUGCCCCUUAUGACCUGGGCUACACACGUGCUACAAUGGUUGGUACAACGAGUUGCGAGUCGGUGACGGCGAGCUAAUCUCUUAAAGCCAAUCUCAGUUCGGAUUGUAGGCUGCAACUCGCCUACAUGAAGUCGGAAUCGCUAGUAAUCGCGGAUCAGCACGCCGCGGUCGAAUACGUUCCCGGGCCUU
RNAcentral lists this ribosomal RNA (428 nucleotides) under uncultured Streptococcus sp. Its description in RNAcentral is "bacterial SSU rRNA". It matches the Rfam family "Bacterial small subunit ribosomal RNA", at positions 954 to 1382 of the family's 1533-position model. The record is from RNAcentral. Lineage: Bacteria; Bacillati; Bacillota; Bacilli; Lactobacillales; Streptococcaceae.